This 798-nucleotide long non-coding RNA is filed under the name Ananas comosus (pineapple). RNAcentral describes it as "long non-coding RNA (ACOM_LNC031466)". The record is from RNAcentral. Lineage: Eukaryota; Viridiplantae; Streptophyta; Magnoliopsida; Poales; Bromeliaceae.
UAGUAUAUGACUUAGUGUAAAUAACACUAGAGGCAUGUGAACUUAGGGACAGGUGGAUUCCCUAGAAAAUGACUUGUUGCAUAAACACAUGAUGAGGCCAAACAUAAUAUUUAGACAUUGGGAUAGGUGGAUUCCCGAGUGACUUGUAACCCUAGAGUUGAUAGGGUAUCCUCGAGUUGAGAGGAUUGAUCAUACUCACAGUCUGUUUAUACUUGUGGUGGUCGCUCCACCCGAGUCUUCGUGCACUCCGGAGUUUGAUGCGAGAGGGACGAGUUGAUGUCCUGCAGACAGCCCCGGGUUUGAGAGCGAGGUGCGUCUCCUUACCAUACGAGGUUUGAGGUGAGUCGUGGGCGAACCCAAGUGGAUCGCCAAGGAUUGAUUGAACAAGAGUAUAGCAUCGUUAAUUGAACAUUGCUUAUUGGACAUUAUGGUUGGACAUGGUAGCAUAGUAGUUGACAUUACUAUAUGACACAUGCAUGCAUGAUACAUAACUUUGGGCAUAGUAGCAUAGUUUUCCUAUUAUGUCAUUUACAGCUUUGAUAUCUAUCUACCUAUCUACCUGCUUUUGCCCACUCGGACCUAGUGGGAAGAUCGGCGGAGUCGACGGCCGAACCCACUGGGAACUAUGGAAGAUAGUUCUCACCCCACUUUGUUGCAGGGCCUAGUACCAGUUCGCCGGGCGAGGACCGCGGCAAGGGCAUCGCGCCCGAGCAGUAGUAUGUAGUAGCUUUCCUUUUGCAUUAGCACACCUAUGUAUUUGAGAGAGAUUCAUGUAGGUGAGGACUUUGGAGAGUUAUG